This is a long non-coding RNA of Corticium candelabrum, 921 nucleotides long. RefSeq lists it as uncharacterized. The transcript has 4 exons. The record is from RefSeq and is a predicted model, not a curated record. Lineage: Eukaryota; Metazoa; Porifera; Homoscleromorpha; Homosclerophorida; Plakinidae.
GUCAAAUGAAUGGGGGGCCGUACAAUAUUUCCUUCCAACUCUCUCAUGACAUUUUUACCUGCAGACUGCUGCUGCAAUGAAAAAACGAGUGUCCGACGAAAGGGGCGUUACCUCGACUCAAUGAGCGUGCGCUAUCUCUCCUGGAGAGUACACGUAGCAAACGGAGACAGUGAUAGUGUUGUUGUGUUAGCUAGUCACCUACAACCUAUCUCAGGUGCGAAAUUGCAGAAUUGCCUUUGCGUUUUCAUGGGAGAGGUCGUGUGCGGUGAAUGAUGGUGGUGUCCGAUAUCCGGGGUCGCAGAGAAGGAUCACGUUUACCGUCCUAGCAUAACCGUUUCAAGCCUUUGGAAGUCCCGCGUCUGGAAUCACAGUCUUUACUAAUCCUUCUUACUGUGGACUUUAACAAAGCUCAGUCUUACUUCGUUUACUUCUUGCACGGCUGUCCGAUGAUUGAUGGUGUCCGAUAACAGGGGCGUCGCUCUACUUCUACUGUUGGUUGAAUGCAGCGCCUCUACAGGACGACUGGGCCAGUAGGAAGCAAAUCUUCGAUUAUCUUGAAGUGAUGGUGAAUUGUCUUUACCUAGCACGGUCAAUCAAAUUGCGGCAGCGUACGACAGGGUGACCAACAUUACAAUCGACUGGCACGUGAACUGAUCGAACCGGAGAACCACGUCUCUUACGUACGGCAACUUCGUGCAUCAGCUUCUCACGAAGAUGUCCAUCAACAGACAGAUCAGAACAUCAACACUGAUACGUAAUUCUGAGAAUUACGACAUUCUCGCUCUGUUCAGUGAUCCAGAUGUUCCCCAUGCUCAAAUUUUCAUAAAAUGGUCGAGGGAACAAAGGAAUUCAUUUCAGCUCUGGAACAAUAAUUAAUUAAAGCCAAGCGUAGCCUCGACCUCCCAGACCCGUGUAGCGCCG